Molecule: ribosomal RNA, 1172 nt
Filed under: Salmonella enterica
Lineage: Bacteria; Pseudomonadati; Pseudomonadota; Gammaproteobacteria; Enterobacterales; Enterobacteriaceae
Also listed under: 1 other name
Description: partial 23S ribosomal RNA
Rfam family: Bacterial large subunit ribosomal RNA
Source: RNAcentral
GGGUUGUGAGGUUAAGCGACUAAGCGUACACGGUGGAUGCCCUGGCAGUCAGAGGCGAUGAAGGGCGUGCUAAUCUGCGAUAAGCGCCGGUAAGGUGAUAUGAACCGUUAUAACCGGCGAUACCCGAAUGGGGAAACCCAGUGUGAUUCGUCACACUAUCAUUACGUGAAUACAUAGCGUAAUGAAGCGAACCGGGGGAACUGAAACAUCUAAGUACCCCGAGGAAAAGAAAUCAACCGAGAUUCCCCCAGUAGCGGCGAGCGAACGGGGAGGAGCCCAGAGCCUGAAUCAGCAUGUGUGUUAGUGGAAGCGUCUGGAAAGGCGCGCGAUACAGGGUGACAGCCCCGUACACAAAAGCGCAUGUGUUGUGAGCUCGAUGAGUAGGGCGGGACACGUGGUAUCCUGUCUGAAUAUGGGGGGACCAUCCUCCAAGGCUAAAUACUCCUGACUGACCGAUAGUGAACCAGUACCGUGAGGGAAAGGCGAAAAGAACCCCGGCGAGGGGAGUGAAAAAGAACCUGAAACCGUGUACGUACAAGCAGUGGGAGCACCCUUUGGGGUGUGACUGCGUACCUUUUGUAUAAUGGGUCAGCGACUUAUAUUCUGUAGCAAGGUUAACCGAAUAGGGGAGCCGGAGGGAAACCGAGUCUUAAUUGGGCGUUAAGUUGCAGGGUAUAGACCCGAAACCCGGUGAUCUAGCCAUGGGCAGGUUGAAGGUUGGGUAACACUAACUGGAGGACCGAACCGACUAAUGUUGAAAAAUUAGCGGAUGACCUGUGGCUGGGGGUGAAAGGCCAAUCAAACCGGGAGAUAGCUGGUUCUCCCCGAAAGCUAUUUAGGUAGCGCCUCGUGAAUUCAUCUCCGGGGGUAGAGCACUGUUUCGGCUAGGGGGCCAUCCCGGCUUACCAACCCGAUGCAAACUGCGAAUACCGGAGAAUGUUAUCACGGGAGACACACGGCGGGUGCUAACGUCCGUCGUGAAGAGGGAAACAACCCAGACCGCCAGCUAAGGUCCCAAAGUCAUAGUUAAGUGGGAAACGAUGUGGGAAGGCCCAGACAGCCAGGAUGUUGGCUUAGAAGCAGCCAUCAUUUAAAGAAAGCGUAAUAGCUCACUGGUCGAGUCGGCCUGCGCGGAAGAUGUAACGGGGCUAAACUAUGCACCGAAGCUGCGG